GCUCCUCACUUCCGUAGCUUGACGCUCCAACCAACGACCACCGCGUCACACUAAGUCCACGAGGAAGAGAAGAGCAAUCCCCGGCCGACCAAAGCGAACAGAAGAGAACCGCAGGAAAUAUUUAAGAACAGGACGAACGCAAAACACUACCCAGAAAUAUUGGCGCGAGAGGAGGAGAAAGAAUACAAGGAUUAGCAAUGAAACCAAGAAGUGAAAAGAAGGGAAAGACAAAGGCGGAGGUUCUGGCCGGGAGCAUAGAUUAUCGGCCGCUCUGACGGAGGUUGAUGCCGAGUUGAAAUGUAUCAAAAGAACAAACAGUCAUCAUGCUAGCGCUGCCGUUUAAUGAACCACAGUCCUUCGACUUCGAGAAUCUUGCGGCAAGAGUGAGUGGUUUGUAUAAAAAGCUUUGUUUUAUUACUAGCUUAUACAAUUUGCCUAAUGACUUCUACUUCUCUAGCCUUACAUCUAUAAACUUUCAUCCCUUCGUUACUCUCAGCUCUUUCAUUUAUUAAAAAAAAAUCUUCUUAAAAUGCAGUCAUAACCUUACUAAUAUCAGUUUCAACUCCAUCUUGCUCAACAGUAACCAUUUCGUCCCUCGUCAGCCAAGUCGUUUCCCGUAUUCCUACACUAAAUUUUCUGCUGUUACAUAUGUGACUGGUUUUGGUCUAUAA
Eriocheir sinensis (Chinese mitten crab) is the source of this 671-nucleotide long non-coding RNA. RefSeq lists it as uncharacterized. Lineage: Eukaryota; Metazoa; Arthropoda; Malacostraca; Decapoda; Varunidae. The record is from RefSeq and is a predicted model, not a curated record. The transcript has 4 exons.